GCCCCCGUGGUGAAAUUGGUAUACACGCAUGGUUUAGGACCAUGUCUCGAAAGAGAUGGAGGUUCGAGUCCUCUCGGGGGCACCA
RNAcentral lists this transfer RNA (85 nucleotides) under Candidatus Jacksonbacteria bacterium. Its description in RNAcentral is "tRNA-Leu". It matches the Rfam family "tRNA". Rfam says of the family: Transfer RNA (tRNA) molecules are approximately 80 nucleotides in length. The record is from RNAcentral. Lineage: Bacteria; Candidatus Jacksoniibacteriota.